GAUGAACGCUGGCGGCGUGCCUAAUACAUGCAAGUCGAGCGAACAGACGAGGAGCUUGCUCCUCUGACGUUAGCGGCGGACGGGUGAGUAACACGUGGAUAACCUACCUAUAAGACUGGGAUAACUUCGGGAAACCGGAGCUAAUACCGGAUAAUAUAUUGAACCGCAUGGUUCAAUAGUGAAAGACGGUUUUGCUGUCACUUAUAGAUGGAUCCGCGCCGCAUUAGCUAGUUGGUAAGGUAACGGCUUACCAAGGCAACGAUGCGUAGCCGACCUGAGAGGGGGAUCGGCCACACUGGAACUGAGACACGGUCCAGACUCCUACGGGAGGCAGCAGUAGGGAAUCGUCCGCAAUGGGCGAAAGCCUGACGGAGCAACGCCGCGUGAGUGAUGAAGGUCUUCGGAUCGUAAAACUCUGUUAUUAGGGAAGAGCAAAUGUGUAAGUAACUAUGCACGUCUUGACGGUACCUAAUCAGAAAGCCACGGCUAACUACGUG
RNAcentral lists this ribosomal RNA (497 nucleotides) under uncultured bacterium. RNAcentral describes it as "partial 16S ribosomal RNA". It matches the Rfam family "Bacterial small subunit ribosomal RNA", at positions 28 to 507 of the family's 1533-position model. The record is from RNAcentral.